GCCUCGGUGGUGAAAUCGGUAUACACGACGGACUCAAAAUCCGUUGCCGCAAGGCGUGUCGGUUCAAGUCCGACCCGAGGCA
This 82-nucleotide transfer RNA is filed under the name Rhizobacter sp. Root404. It matches the Rfam family "tRNA". From Rfam's summary of the family: Transfer RNA (tRNA) molecules are approximately 80 nucleotides in length. Their secondary structure includes four short double-helical elements and three loops (D, anti-codon, and T loops). Further hydrogen bonds mediate the characteristic L-shaped molecular structure. tRNAs have two regions of fundamental functional importance: the anti-codon, which is responsible for specific mRNA codon recognition, and the 3' end, to which the tRNAs corresponding amino acid is attached (by aminoacyl-tRNA synthetases). tRNAs cope with the degeneracy of the genetic code in two manners: having more than one tRNA (with a specific anti-codon) for a particular amino acid; and 'wobble' base-pairing, i.e. permitting non-standard base-pairing at the 3rd anti-codon position. Lineage: Bacteria; Pseudomonadati; Pseudomonadota; Betaproteobacteria; Burkholderiales; Sphaerotilaceae. The record is from Rfam by way of RNAcentral.